RNAcentral lists this ribosomal RNA (180 nucleotides) under uncultured bacterium. RNAcentral describes it as "partial 16S ribosomal RNA". It matches the Rfam family "Bacterial small subunit ribosomal RNA", at positions 1320 to 1500 of the family's 1533-position model. The record is from RNAcentral.
AUGAAGUCGGAAUUGCUAGUAAUGGCAGGUCAGCAUACUGCCGUGAAUACGUUCCCGGGCCUUGUACACACCGCCCGUCACACCAUGAGAGUUGGGGAUACCCAAAGCCCGUGAGCCAACUUAUAGAGGCAGCGGUCUAAGGUAGAAUCAAUGAUUGGGGUGAAGUCGUAACAAGGUAGC